This 440-nucleotide ribosomal RNA is filed under the name uncultured bacterium. Its description in RNAcentral is "partial 16S ribosomal RNA". It matches the Rfam family "Bacterial small subunit ribosomal RNA", at positions 338 to 795 of the family's 1533-position model. The record is from RNAcentral.
CCUACGGGAGGCAGCAGUGGGGAAUAUUGCACAAUGGGGGAAACCCUGAUGCAGCGACGCCGCGUGAGUGAAGAAGUAUCUCGGUACGUAAAGCUCUAUCAGCAGGGAAGAAAAUGACGGUACCUGACUAAGAAGCCCCGGCUAACUACGUGCCAGCAGCCUCGGUAAUACGUAGGGGGCAAGCGUUAUCCGGAUUUACUGGGUGUAAAGGGAGCGUAGACGGUUAAUCAAGUCAGAAGUGAAAACCCAGGGCUCAACCUUGGGACUGCUUUUGAAACUGAGUAGCUAGAGUGCAGGAGAGGUAAGCGGAAUUCCUAGUGUAGCGGUGAAAUGCGUAGAUAUUAGGAGGAACACCAGUGGCGAAGGCGGCUUACUGGACUGUAACUGACGUUGAGGCUCGAAAGCGUGGGGAGCAAACAGGAUUAGAUACCCCAGUAGUC